GAACGAUACAGUCUUGAAGAAAACCAAUUCUUAGCCGCAGUAACAAACACAAUUUGGGAUUAUGGAAUACUGGUAAAAGUUCUCGAGGCAGAAUUAUCGGCAGCGAAGAACUUGCUCAUCAAUUGGGCUUAUGCGAAAAUUCGGCAGAUCCACUUUUGACCUUGAUAGUCUGAUAGAAAGAUGGCAUAAUUCAAAUACAUGGGAAACUAAGGAAGAGGAACUGAGUCGAGAAGGGCCAAUUAUUUUUGCCACCGUAGCCAGCAGCAGGAUAGGAUUAUGUUGGACCCUCUGAGACGACCGUCGUACAUCAAACGGCUCUUCCGUGCCGUUGGCUAUUCACCGAAUAAUGAAUAAUCACCGCUCACCAAAUCCGCAUUCGUUCGACCCCGAAUUAUGAUUGCAGAGAUAUUGGUGAUUGUCGAUUGUUGGGGGGAGGGGGCAUUGGCACGGAUGAUCCGGCAGAUGUACGACAAGGACGAGGCAAAUAACUUAUCAUAUUUGAAUGGAUCAGUAGUAAUGUAACCACCAGCGCUU
Armigeres subalbatus is the source of this 534-nucleotide long non-coding RNA. RefSeq lists it as uncharacterized. NCBI's taxonomy places the organism in Eukaryota, Metazoa, Arthropoda, Insecta, Diptera, Culicidae. The record is from RefSeq and is a predicted model, not a curated record. The transcript is spliced from 3 exons.